AAGAUCUAAGCCCUUAUAAUAGAGGUUCAAAUCCUCUCGUUAACCAAAUCCUCUCGUUAAC
Molecule: transfer RNA, 61 nt
Filed under: Boana picturata (Imbabura treefrog)
Lineage: Eukaryota; Metazoa; Chordata; Amphibia; Anura; Hylidae
Description: partial tRNA-Leu
Source: RNAcentral